GAUGAACGCUAGCGGCAGGCUUAACACAUGCAAGUCGAGGGGUAACAGGGAAAGCUUGCUUUCCGCUGACGACCGGCGCACGGGUGCGUAACGCGUAUACAAUUUGCCUUAUACUGGGGGAUAGCCUUUAGAAAUGAAGAUUAAUACCCCAUGGUCUAUAGAUUUGGCAUCGAGUUUAUAGUAAAGAUUUAUUGGUAUAAGAUGAGUAUGCGUCCUAUUAGCUAGAUGGUAAGGUAAUGGCUUACCAUGGCAACGAUAGGUAGGGGUCCUGAGAGGGAGAUCCCCCACACUGGUACUGAGACACGGACCAGACUCCUACGGGAGGCAGCAGUGAGGAAUAUUGGACAAUGGAGGCAACUCUGAUCCAGCCAUGCCGCGUGCAGGAAGACUGCCCUAUGGGUUGUAAACUGCUUUUAUACAAGAAGAAACCCAAUCACGUGUGAUUGGCUGACGGUAUUGUAUGAAUAAGCACCGGCUAACUCCG
Molecule: ribosomal RNA, 484 nt
Filed under: uncultured Flavobacteriaceae bacterium
Lineage: Bacteria; Pseudomonadati; Bacteroidota; Flavobacteriia; Flavobacteriales; Flavobacteriaceae
Description: bacterial SSU rRNA
Rfam family: Bacterial small subunit ribosomal RNA
Source: RNAcentral